Long non-coding RNA from Hipposideros armiger (great roundleaf bat), 913 nucleotides. RefSeq lists it as uncharacterized. The transcript is spliced from 3 exons. The record is from RefSeq and is a predicted model, not a curated record. NCBI's taxonomy places the organism in Eukaryota, Metazoa, Chordata, Mammalia, Chiroptera, Hipposideridae.
GGACAGUGACGACAAGAAAGCUCUUAGGUCACAGUGCCCGUCUGCAAACAGCCGCCCUGAGCUGGAAGGAGAGCUGGCCCCUGGCACUCGAACCCAGGUCACCCUCAGUUUUCUAGAAUUUGCCAUGGCCAAUGACGAAUCAGGACCUGCCAUGGCGCACACAGACGCUGAAGUACUCCAGGAUGUCGUGACGGACGAAGCACAGCACUGACAGGCCCGGCCCGUUGCAGGCGUGGUAGAGCUGCCGGAAAACCCACAGACGGUCAACGGCUGGAGAGGACAGUGCUGGAGCCCCAGACCCAGGGCUGGUCCCCGAGCCAUGGCCCUGGUGAGCCAGGCCACUCGCUAGCUGCGAGACCUUGGGCCGAUGGCUUAAUGGCUCCAAGUCUCAGUUCCCCCAUCUGAAAAAUGCGGGCACUGCUGACUGCUCCCCUCAGAGGCUCUUGUGUACAGGGGCAGGGUGUCACUCAGACAAAGCCCACAGAGGUGGGGAACCUAAGACGUGGCCUACACAUCCAUUCCCUCCAUCCUGGUGCCCUGACAGCAGGCUUCUCUUCAUCCUUUCACCAACAUGGGAUGUGAGCACAGCACCUUUUUUUGGGGUGCCAGUCUGCUCUUCAGGUGCCUGUGGGGCCUUCCCUCGCCCCCCACAAUGUACCUCUCUGAUGGCUGGGCUACCCCACAGUGGAAGUUCUCAGACCUAAGUGGGCAUUAAAACCCCUGGGGGCUUGUGGAGACUCAGGUUGCUGGGGAGCCCACCUUGAGAGUCCCCGACUUAGCAGGUCUGGGUUGGGGUCGGAGAUCUGUGUUUUUUUGCAGUUUUCAGGCUGGUGCCAAUGCUGCCGGUGGGGAACUCACUUUGAGAACCACAGGUCUACAGCUGUCGGCUUCUGUUUCUUUAAAGUGCAGGAAG